AACGAACGCUGGCGGCAUGCCUAAUACAUGCAAGUCGAACGAGAUCUUCGGAUCUAGUGGCGCACGGGUGCGUAACGCGUGGGAAUCUGCCCUUGGGUUCGGAAUAACUUCGGGAAACUGAAGCUAAUACCGGAUGGUGACGUAAGUCCAAAGAUUUAUCGCCCAAGGAUGAGCCCGCGUAGGAUUAGCUAGUUGGUAAGGUAAAGGCUUACCAAGGCGACGAUCCUUAGCUGGUCUGAGAGGAUGAUCAGCCACACUGGGACUGAGACCCGGCCCAGACUCCUACGGGAGGCAGCAGUAGGGAAUAUUGGACAAUGGGGGCAACCCUGAUCCAGCAAUGCCGCGUGAGUGAUGAAGGCCUUAGGGUUGUAAAGCUCUUUUACCCGGGAUGAUAAUGACAGUACCGGGAGAAUAAGCCCCGGCUAACUCCGUGCCAGCAGCCGCGGUAA
This 449-nucleotide ribosomal RNA is filed under the name uncultured bacterium. Its description in RNAcentral is "partial 16S ribosomal RNA". It matches the Rfam family "Bacterial small subunit ribosomal RNA", at positions 29 to 523 of the family's 1533-position model. The record is from RNAcentral.